UCAGCUGAAGUUGCCACCUAUAUUAUCCACAUGGAUUUAUCAGCCAUUCCCAGAGCCUUCUCAGGCCACCGCAGCUGGUAUACCUCCGUCGUCUCUGCCGCCGCCACCACCCCCUCCGACUCGAUCUCUGCAACCUCCAACCUCAUCUACGUCUAUGACAAUGCUAUUCAUGGAUUCAGCGCUCGACUCUCGCCAUUGCAGCUCCAACAGCUCAAGAGAUCACAUGGCUACUUAUCGUGCUAUCGCGAAAUGCCGAUGACGGUUGACACCACCCACACCCCCGAAUUUCUCCACCUUAGUUCAGGUUCCGGUCUAUGGCCGGCCUCCAACUAUGGCGAGGACGUCAUAAUUGGGGUGGUCGACUCCGGGAUAUGGCCCGAGAGAGAGAGCUUCAGCGACGACAGCAUGACCGACGUGCCUGCCAGAUGGAAGGGCGUCUGCGAGCAAGGUACUGCUUUCAGCUCCUCUGCGUGCAACCGGAAGCUCAUCGGAGCCCGGAGCUUCAACAAGGGCUUGCUCGCUGCAAACCCAAACCUCACCAUUGCGGUCAAUUCCCCACGUGACACCGACGGUCACGGCACGCACACCUCCUCCACCGCCAUCGGGAAUUACGUCCCCGGCGCGUCCUUCUUUGGGUACGCACCCGGCACGGCCCAGGGGAUGGCGCCCCGUGCGCGGCUGGCCAUGUAUAAGGCUAUUUGGGACGAAGGAGCCGUCACGUCCGACAUCAUCGCCGCAAUCGACCAAGCUAUAUCUGAUGGCGUGGAUGUCAUCUCCCUAUCUCUGGGCCUCGGCUUCUUCCCCCUCUACAAGGAUCCCAUUGCCAUGGCCUCCUUCGCCGCCAUGGAGAAGGGGAUAUUCGUCGCGACCUCGGCGGGCAACUAUGGCCCAGGCUUGCGGGUCCUGCACAACGGGACCCCCUGGGUCACCACCAUCGGUGCUGCCACCGUCGACCGGGACUUUGCCAGCAUCGUCGAUCUCGGAGAUGGCAGCUCCAUCAACGGGCAAUCAAUGUACCCUGGAAGGCCACCUUCCACUAGGCAUCAUGCAUUGCCCUUGGUGUUCAUGGGGUCUUGUGGCAACAGGACCUUGCUGAAGAAUGCGCGUCACAAGAUGGUAGUAUGUGAUGCCAAGGAUCUUGAAUUCGCCACCUCUCAAGUUGAGUCUACUACAGUGGAUGCUGCCCUCUUCAUAUCUGCUAAAGUGGACUUAUACGUCAAAUUCUCGUUUCCUGGGGCUAUCAUUAGCCCUCAAGAUGGUAAGACCAUCUUGGAGUACAUAAAUAAAAGCUCGAACCCGAGAGCCAUGUUGAGAUUUCGGGAGACCAUCUUGGGCACAAAGCCUGCCCCCAUGGCGGCUGACUACACCUCCAGAGGGCCCUCGGUGAGCUGCCCAACUGUGCUGAAGCCAGACAUUUUGGCUCCUGGCAGCUUCAUCCUAGCAGCUUGGGCACAGAAUUCAUCGAUAGGGUUCGACGGGUCUCAUAAAUUGUAUAGCCCAUUCAACAUCGUAUCAGGAACAUCCAUGGCCUGCCCUCAUGCAGCAGGCAUAGCUGCGAUGAUCAAGGGUGCAAGGCCGGACUGGAGCCCUGCGGCGAUUCGAUCUGCGCUGAUGACCACCGCAAACAAUUUGGACAAUACCAUGAUGCCAAUUAGAGACAUGGGGUAUGCCGAUCGGCCAGCAGCAACUCCGCUGGCUAUCGGGUCCGGUCACAUUGAGCCCAACAGGGCACUCGAUCCUGGUCUUGUCUAUGAUGCCAGCACCGAUGACUAUGUGAGACUCUUAUGUGCCAUGAAAUAUACCAGCAAGCAGAUAAAGACGAUCACCAAGACCUAUUCUUUCGAUUGCUCUCAUGCAUCUUUAGAUCUCAAUUAUCCAUCGUUCAUUGCAUUCUUCAAUCCUAACAAGACUGCUGCUAGUGAUGAGGUUGUCCAAGAGUUCCGAAGGACGGUAACGAAUGUGGGAGAUGCGGUGGUGACUUACAACGCCAAGGUGGUGGCUAUGAAGGGGUUUGCAAUUAGGAUCGUGCCGGAGAAGUUAGUUUUUUACGAGAAGUACGAGAAGAAAAGUUUCGCUCUCAUUCUGGUGGGCCAGAUGGGGAAGAAAGACGAUGAGGUGCUUCACGGUUCAUUAAGUUGGGUGGAUGAUAAAGGGAAGUAUGUGGUGAGGAGUCCUAUAGUGGCAACUACCAUCAACUCAACUCGAUUGUAGAUUGUAGAUUGUAAGGAGGAGGGGCAAGCUAAUUAGGUUUAGGUCAAAUCAAACAUAUUUUUAUUGACCCGCACUAAAUGUAGAUGACCUACAUAUGGGGCGAAUUGGGUCGAGUCAUAUUAGAAAUUGCAAAAUGUAAACCCGACUUGGUUUUCUAAAUGGAUUUAAUUUUUUUCGACCCUAAACCAACUAAUGGUCUGUCGAAAACAGAAUGGGAGAGAUUUGAUUGAGUUAGAAUCAAGCCGGAUCAUGAGUCACCCCCAAUUCAUUUGCAGUGUCCUGGACACAUCCAAUGGCAUCGCUCUAGAUGUCUGGUCUCUAAGAAUUCCUUGCAACAAUGAUCAAAUUAAAAAAUGGGGCGCAUGGUAAAAAUUGAAACGUCCAUGGGUACAAGGGAGGAUCUAGCUUAAUCGGUAAUUUAUUUGAAAUUAUUAACUAAAAAGUGAUCCCUAGAUCAAAAACGAUAAGAUAUAGAUUAAUAUCUAUGUAACUUUGAGAUAAAUUAUAUGUCAAGUUAAUUUCAAUACAAUCUUCUAAGAAGCUAAUGUAAUUAGUAGAUAGGAAUAUCUUCCCAAAUUUGUUUCGCAUAGUUUCAUAGCUUGUAUGAGACAAGUCUCAUGGACUAAGACAUCUUUAGGCCAUCCCAAUCUUUUUUGUCCAUUCUCCCUUUGAAGACAUCUAGUAAAAUUGAGACAUCUCAUCAUUUCUUUUCUUUCAUCGUGGGCAAUAUUCUUCUUUACAUUUGUUCCAGUACUUGCUAGCUAUAGUAUGCUUUUGCUCAGCAGAUACUUUGUUUUUUUCUUGAAACAAUGCUUACUUGAUACAUGUUUUUUUGUUUUGGAUGACAAUUAGAGGAAAAUAUCAACUUUCAUUUCAUAGAGACGAUGACAUGAAGCUUAUAAGAAAUUGAAAACGUUACACAUUAAAAAGCUAGGACAUUCUUUUAACACUUUCUUAAAGGCAUUCUUUAUCCAAAGUAUCCAAUAGGAUUCAGCUAGCUUAUGGGAUUUAAAAAUGAUAAACUGUUUGAUUAGUGAAGUUGGAAAGGUCACAUACAAGGCCGGCGAUGAACAUUAACGUAACAUCAACAUAUUCGACAGCAACUAGCAUAUCAAGGUUUGGAAUCAACAUAUUCACAUACAAGGCCGGUAAUGAACAUUAACGUAACAUCAACAUAUUCGACAACAACUAGCAUAUUUAGGUUUGAAAUAAACAUAUUCACAUACAAGGUCGCCGAUGAACAUCAACAUAACAUUAACAUAUCCGACAGCAACUAGCACAUCAAGGUUUAAGAUAAACAUAUUCACAUACAAGGCUGGCGAUGAAUAUUAACAUAUUUGAUAGCAACUAGUAUAUGAAGGCUUGAAAUUAAGCUUAUAAAUUAAAACUUCAUAUAGAGAGGCUGAUUGGGAACCCCACCAAAAGAACAACCAUGCCACUGAUAGAAAAUGGGACCAACAAAAGAUAAUCCCUGUUGGAAAAGUCCACUAGGGUUUCUUUCUUUUGCACCACUUUGAUGCUCUCCAGUGUCCAAUUAUUGGUUACUAGAUAGCGUUCUUUAUCUAGAUAUGUCUCCCCUUCUCAAAGUAGGAUUGUUGAGUCAAGUCUUGCGAAGCCCAAGCUCUUAACUGAUUUAUUGGUUCUGUUGUUUGAGGCUUGAGACUAUAAUUUCUAGUUCACUCUUAGCUAACCAGACAAACAGACAUACAUACAUUAUGUAUACAUAUGGUGCUAUAUAAUAUUCGAUAAUUUUAUAUAAAAUUUCUCUCAUUAAGUGAAUAUCAGAAAUGAAUGAAUAGGGUCUUAAUUAUAGGGAGACCAUAAUUUCUAGUUCACUCUUAGCUAACCAGACAUGCAUACAUACAUACAUACAUACAUUUUAUGUGUAUCUAUAGUAUUAUAUAAUAUUUGAUAAUUCUAUAAAAAAAUUUCUCUCAAUAAGUGAAUAUCAGAGAGAGAAAUGAAUGAAUAGGGUCUUGAGAGGGAGGAAAAGAAGAAAAACAUAAGAAUGCUAGAAAACAAACAUAUAAAUGGAAUAAAACUAUUUUAGAAAUUUAUUAAGAUUAGGAAAUUAUGGGCCUAACUUGUAAAAUUGAUUUGGUUUGAUUGUAAGGUUAUCAAAAAAAUUCCAAGAUUGCUUGCAUCAGGGCUCUAGCUGGUGGGAAUUACCAAAAGUCACAUCUUAUAUGGUGGAGGUGGGCGUAUCUUGUAACAAGACGAGACGAGCGGAGGUGGUCCCUCUGAAGGAAGAUUGCUUGAAUCACGGCUCUAGUUGUUGCCUAGCGCUCGGUCAAAACUAAGGAUUCUAUUUUAUUGCAUAUGUCAUUGCUUCAUGGAGGUAGAGUAGAAGAGGUGCUUUCAGAUCAUAUGGGCAUCAAAGCAGCAUACCCUACUUAUUGAUAAUGCCAUUGCUUUGUGACAGGGAGAGUUGGUCACAGACCAUAAAGGCCAAGGGCAAGUGGACUGAAUUGAUCAGUAUCUCUUCGAACCGAUCGAAUGCGACCUAGCUGAACCCGAAUGGGAAUCACUCGGACUAACUUUGUAUUGAAAUUUCGACCUCUACUGCAUUGCAGAUCGGAUACAUAAAUGCAGUAAAUAUGUCAAAGAAUCCCAUUCAAUUGGAAGAGGGAUGCAACCACUCGGCUAUCGCAGUGUUUGUGACCCUCGAAUAUGGAUCAUCGAAUAUGGAUACAAUUAAGUGGCAUGGUACAUGUCUUUUAAGACUUAUGUUGGGGUUGUUUUCGACUUGAUUAGAUUUGAAAAACACAAUGGAUCGAUAAUAAUAAGCCUUAAUACGAUCGAAUGCAACUUAAGUUAAAUUGAAUCAGGAUUGGAUUCGAACUUUUGAUUCCAUUUAUGUAAGCACUGGAAUAAGUCAUGAGUCACAAACCUCAUGAAACCUGACCUGCUGUUAGCCUUGGCUGCAUCAAGGGUUUGUCACUUAAGGAGAUACUUACGAAUUGCAAAUAGGUUAACUAUAAGCUCUGGAUAACCUGGCCCAGUUUUCAGAGUUCUAAGGUUCUGCCUUGUGCCUUGGCUAUGCGUGUAGCUAAGGUGCAAACCAGGCUGGCUGUGAGUCAUGCAGCGGGCUCCCACCUUUUUGUACGUAUCCAAACUUUUUAGCGGUCCCAACUUGGACUAUGUCCAUGACGUUCCAACCGUGUUGUGUGAGUUGUUGCAUGUCCAAAAAAUAGGACAAUCUAAUGGUGAUUGGCCAACCACCUUAGUUUUAAUAGAUCCUAUGCACUCAAAGUCUAAGUUACAGUGAAUUGAUGUCUUAUGGUCCGUUGUAUUAUGCUGCCAGCUGCAGUAGGAUGAACAGAGAGACAGAGUCUGGACCACGAAAAACAGUAGUUUUAAAACCAUCUUGUGUAACUUCAAUCAAUUAAUUAUUUUAAUUGAACAACACUAAUAAUUCUAUGAGAUUAGCAUUCUUGAUUAAUAACUAUAUAUGAUUGUUAUAGCCUAGUGAUCUCUAUUUUAAAUGAAUGAGAUCCAUAGAUAGAGAUAGAAAUUAAUGUAAAAGAGUAUAACCACCGACAGAGAAUGCCCCAUGGAAUGGACUGAGCGAGUUAGUAUCUGAAAUAUUUGUUUUCUUAAUUCACCAAACACAUGCAUCAUGUGCUAAAUAAUAAUUUCUAGUAUUGUGAUUGAAUUUAGAAUUGAAUUUAGAAUCAAAUGAAACUUUGAAUUUAGAAUUGAAUUUAGAAUCAAAUGAAACUUUGUCAUUGCUUCUUAAGUGUCGGCAUAUGGUUGAUAUGGUAUAAAUGGAGCAAUAUAUAAAAUGCUACACACCACAUGUAUAACAUUUUUAUGUGAACUACAUGUAGUAGUUACCUGAUUACCGUCUUUAUAUUAUUCCUCCAGAUCACUUUUGGUUCUUGACUUGCAGCAAUGUGACCCAAGGGACCCAGCAGCUGGGUGAAUAGUAUUAUUCCUCCCCACUCCCCGCGUUUCACGAGAAGUAUGAGAAGAAAAGCUUCGCUCUCAUUAUGGUGGGCCAGAUGGGGAAGAAAGCCGAUAAGGUGCUCCAUGGUUCAUUAAGCUGGGUGGAUGAUAAAGGGAAGUAUGUGGUGAGAAGUCCUAUAGUGGCAACUACCAUCAACUCAACCCGGUUGUAGAUUGUAAAGAUGAGUGCCAAUUACAAUGUCUCCUCUUCUUGUCUUUGCCUUCCUAUGGAAAAUGUUGCAAGUUAUUUACUAACCAAAAGUUUAAUUUGCAAGAAUAAAGAAAACUCCCCAGCAGGAACAUAUGCAUUAAUUAAUUUGUUUAUAAUCUUGCAUUAUUCCAAAUAACCACAAUAAAUGGCCAUUUCAAGAAGUGGCCUGUUAUAAAUUUGGAGCCAGAAAAUCCUCAUUUGAGAAUGAGUUGCUUGUCGCGAAUCAUGACCGACCUCCUUGUGGACCCUUAAUCUCUAUGAUUCAUUGACGUUGCCUAGCUACCUUCUUGAUAGAGACUUUGUUUGGUUGAGUGUCAUCUUGAGAUCCAUUUUAUUACAAUGUAUUGAGCAUGGCCAUUUAAGCACGAUACUGUCCUUCUUUUCCUUCUCCUUCUCCUUCAUAUUCUUCUUCUUCUCCUCUUUCUUCUUCUUCUCCUCCUCCUUCUUCUUCUACAACUUCUCCUGCUUCUUCUUAUUCUUCUUCUCCUCCUCCUCCUCCUCCUCCUCCUCCUCCUUCUUCUUCUCCUCCUCAUCCUCCUUCUUCUUCUUCUCCUGCUCCUUCUUCUUCUGCUUCAACUUCUUUUCCUUCUCCUUCUUCCUCUCCCUCUCGUUCUCUUCUUCUUCUGCUGCUACACACCACACGUAUAACAUUUUUGCGUGAACUACAUGUAGUAGUUACCUGAUUACCGUUUUUAUAUUUUUCCUCCAGAUCACUUUUGGUUCUUGACUUGCAGCAAUGUGACCCAAGGGACCCAACAGCUCGGUGAAUAGUAUUCCCCACUCCCCGCGUUCGACUUCUUGGCUUGUAGCAAUGCGACCCAAAGCACCCAACUACUUGGUGAAUAGUAUUCCCUCGUUUGCUUUUUUUUUUUUGCUCUUCCUUAUAUACACAUAGCACAGAGGCUUCCCUCUAAUCUAUGUGACGCCACAACACCACCAUGGCACUUCUGUCGUCCUUCCACUAUGUGUGGAUGGCAAUAGCCAUACUUACCUCACAGAUGAUACCAAUAUCAGCUGAAGUUGCCACCUAUAUUGUUCACAUGGACUUAUCAGCCAUGCCGAGAGCCUUCUCAGGCCACCGCAGCUGGUAUACCUCCGUCGUCUCUGCCGCCGCCACCUCCGACUCGGUCUUUGCAGCCUCCAACCUCAUCUACAUCUAUGACAAUGCUAUUCAUGGAUUCAGCGCUCGACUCUCGCCAUUGCAGCUCCAACAGCUCAAGAGAUCACAUGGCUUUUUGUC
RNAcentral lists this long non-coding RNA (7610 nucleotides) under Phoenix dactylifera (date palm). RNAcentral describes it as "long non-coding RNA (PDAC_LNC001172)". Lineage: Eukaryota; Viridiplantae; Streptophyta; Magnoliopsida; Arecales; Arecaceae. The record is from RNAcentral.